Molecule: ribosomal RNA, 2840 nt
Filed under: Bacillus haynesii
Lineage: Bacteria; Bacillati; Bacillota; Bacilli; Caryophanales; Bacillaceae
Description: 23S ribosomal RNA
Rfam family: Bacterial large subunit ribosomal RNA
Source: RNAcentral
GGUUAAGUUAGAAAGGGCGCACGGUGGAUGCCUUGGCACUAGGAGCCGAUGAAGGACGGGACGAACACCGAUAUGCUUCGGGGAGCUGUAAGCAAGCUUUGAUCCGGAGAUUUCCGAAUGGGGAAACCCACUGCUCGUAAUGGAGCAGUAUCCAUAUCUGAAUUCAUAGGAUAUGAGAAGGCAGACCCGGGGAACUGAAACAUCUAAGUACCCGGAGGAAGAGAAAGCAAAUGCGAUUCCCUGAGUAGCGGCGAGCGAAACGGGANNNNNNNNNNNNNNNNNNNNNNNNNNNNNNNNNNNNNNNNNNNNNNNNNNNNNNNNNNAAAAGAACGAGGUAGAUGAAGAGGUCUGGAAAGGCCCGCCAUAGGAGGUAACAGCCCUGUAGUCAAAACUUCGUUCUCUCCUGAGUGGAUCCUGAGUACGGCGGAACACGUGAAAUUCCGUCGGAAUCCGGGAGGACCAUCUCCCAAGGCUAAAUACUCCCUAGUGACCGAUAGUGAACCAGUACCGUGAGGGAAAGGUGAAAAGCACCCCGGAAGGGGAGUGAAAGAGAUCCUGAAACCGUGUGCCUACAAGUAGUCAGAGCCCGUUAACGGGUGAUGGCGUGCCUUUUGUAGAAUGAACCGGCGAGUUACGAUCCCGUGCAAGGUUAAGUUUGAAAAGACGGAGCCGCAGCGAAAGCGAGUCUGAAUAGGGCGCAUGAGUACGUGGUCGUAGACCCGAAACCAGGUGAUCUACCCAUGUCCAGGGUGAAGUUCAGGUAACACUGAAUGGAGGCCCGAACCCACGCACGUUGAAAAGUGCGGGGAUGAGGUGUGGGUAGGGGUGAAAUGCCAAUCGAACCUGGAGAUAGCUGGUUCUCUCCGAAAUAGCUUUAGGGCUAGCCUCAAGGUAAGAGUCUUGGAGGUAGAGCACUGAUUGGACUAGGGGCCCCUACCGGGUUACCGAAUUCAGUCAAACUCCGAAUGCCAAAGACUUAUCCUUGGGAGUCAGACUGCGAGUGAUAAGAUCCGUAGUCGAAAGGGAAACAGCCCAGACCGCCAGCUAAGGUCCCAAAGUAUACGUUAAGUGGAAAAGGAUGUGGAGUUGCUUAGACAACCAGGAUGUUGGCUUAGAAGCAGCCACCAUUUAAAGAGUGCGUAAUAGCUCACUGGUCGAGUGACUCUGCGCCGAAAAUGUACCGGGGCUAAACGUAUCACCGAAGCUGCGGACUGUUCUUACGAACAGUGGUAGGAGAGCGUUCUAAGGGCUGUGAAGCGAGACCGGAAGGACUCGUGGAGCGCUUAGAAGUGAGAAUGCCGGUAUGAGUAGCGAAAGAGGGGUGAGAAUCCCCUCCACCGAAUGCCUAAGGUUUCCUGAGGAAGGCUCGUCCGCUCAGGGUUAGUCGGGACCUAAGCCGAGGCCGAAAGGCGUAGGCGAUGGACAACAGGUUGAUAUUCCUGUACCACCUCCUCACCAUUUGAGNNAAGGCUGAGCUGUGAUGGCGAGCGAAAUAUAGUAGCGAAGUUCCUGAUUCCACACUGCCAAGAAAAGCCUCUAGCGAGGUGAGAGGUGCCCGUACCGCAAACCGACACAGGUAGGCGAGGAGAGAAUCCUAAGGUGAUCGAGAGAACUCUCGUUAAGGAACUCGGCAAAAUGACCCCGUAACUUCGGGAGAAGGGGUGCUCUGUUAGGGUGCAAGCCCGAGAGAGCCGCAGUGAAUAGGCCCAGGCGACUGUUUAGCAAAAACACAGGUCUCUGCGAAGCCGUAAGGCGAAGUAUAGGGGCUGACGCCUGCCCGGUGCUGGAAGGUUAAGAGGAGCGCUUAGCGUAUGCGAAGGUGCGAAUUGAAGCCCCAGUAAACGGCGGCCGUAACUAUAACGGUCCUAAGGUAGCGAAAUUCCUUGUCGGGUAAGUUCCGACCCGCACGAAAGGCGCAACGAUCUGGGCACUGUCUCAACGAGAGACUCGGUGAAAUUAUAGUACCUGUGAAGAUGCAGGUUACCCGCGACAGGACGGAAAGACCCCGUGGAGCUUUACUGCAGCCUGAUAUUGAAUGUUGGUACAGCUUGUACAGGAUAGGUAGGAGCCUUGGAAACCGGAGCGCCAGCUUCGGUGGAGGCAUCGGUGGGAUACUACCCUGGCUGUAUUGACCUUCUAACCCGCUGCCCUUAUCGGGCAGGGAGACAGUGUCAGGUGGGCAGUUUGACUGGGGCGGUCGCCUCCUAAAAAGUAACGGAGGCGCCCAAAGGUUCCCUCAGAAUGGUUGGAAAUCAUUCGCAGAGUGUAAAGGCACAAGGGAGCUUGACUGCGAGACCUACAAGUCGAGCAGGGACGAAAGUCGGGCUUAGUGAUCCGGUGGUUCCGCAUGGAAGGGCCAUCGCUCAACGGAUAAAAGCUACCCCGGGGAUAACAGGCUUAUCUCCCCCAAGAGUCCACAUCGACGGGGAGGUUUGGCACCUCGAUGUCGGCUCAUCGCAUCCUGGGGCUGUAGUCGGUCCCAAGGGUUGGGCUGUUCGCCCAUUAAAGCGGUACGCGAGCUGGGUUCAGAACGUCGUGAGACAGUUCGGUCCCUAUCCGUCGCGGGCGCAGGAAAUUUGAGAGGAGCUGUCCUUAGUACGAGAGGACCGGGAUGGACGCACCGCUGGUGUACCAGUUGUUCUGCCAAGGGCAUCGCUGGGUAGCUAUGUGCGGACGGGAUAAGUGCUGAAAGCAUCUAAGCAUGAAGCCCCCCUCAAGAUGAGAUUUCCCAUUCCGCAAGGAAGUAAGAUCCCUGAAAGAUGAUCAGGUUGAUAGGUCUGAGGUGGAAGUGUGGCGACACAUGGAGCUGACAGAUACUAAUCGAUCGAGGACUUAACCUA